RNAcentral lists this long non-coding RNA (873 nucleotides) under Brassica napus (rape). RNAcentral describes it as "long non-coding RNA (BNAP_LNC017480)". The record is from RNAcentral. Lineage: Eukaryota; Viridiplantae; Streptophyta; Magnoliopsida; Brassicales; Brassicaceae.
AGCACUUAAUGUUUUAUCAAAAGUCAUAAACUUAGGGUUUAGAGUUAAAGGGUGGGGUUUAGGAUUUAGGGUUUAGGACUUAGGGUUUAGAGUUUAGGGUUUAGGGUUUAGAGUUUAGGGUUUAGGGUUUAUGGUUUAGGGUUUAGGGUUUAGGGUUUAGGGUUUAGAGUUUAGGGUUUAGGGUUUAGGGUUUAGAGCUGAGAAAUGAGGUUUUGGGGAUAAGAUUUCAAAUUUUGAAAAAUAAAAAAAUUAAAAUUUUCAAAGGAUAAACUUAGAAAUGUGCUAUUUUGGUCAUUUUAGUUUUGAAGUGCUAUUUUUGUGAUAUAAACUUAGAAAGGUGCUAUUUUGAAAAUUUGCCAUUUUUUUUAUAAAACAUAUUUUCUCUAUAGGACGAUUCAAACACCUCACGGAUAAAAUCGUAUUUAUUACCACAUCAUAUGAUUGUAUGCAUCAAUGCAUGACUAUUCGUGUUUUAUAAUAAUAAUAUAUGUUUUUAUCUAAAUAAGCAUAUGCUCACGACACCAUUAUCCCUCGAAAAAAGACACCAUAAUAGCGGAUAAGCUGGCAUGUAAUGCUCAAAAUCUGUUUAUGUUGAUUCUGUUUUUUACACUAACAAAUUUAUAAUCUGUUUAGGUUACUAGCCUUUUGUUGUAAAAAAAUAAGGGGAUUUGCCAAAUAUGACUCAAAACUUGAUUUUAAAUACAAAACUUUAUCUAAACUUGAAUCAAAUAGAAAACUAACCUAAAAGUCUUGUGAAAUUACAGCAAGCUCCUUGUGACCAAACAAAAAAACAGAACUCAAUUUUACGAAUAUAGUUCUGGAAAGUCGUCUGAAUCUUAUGAGAUAUUGUAAGUCGUCUAGACGAUUUCCAGG